RNAcentral lists this non-coding RNA (644 nucleotides) under Serpula lacrymans var. lacrymans S7.3. RNAcentral describes it as "Bacterial large subunit ribosomal RNA". It matches the Rfam family "Bacterial large subunit ribosomal RNA", at positions 2231 to 2925 of the family's 2925-position model. The record is from Rfam by way of RNAcentral. Lineage: Eukaryota; Fungi; Basidiomycota; Agaricomycetes; Boletales; Serpulaceae.
UAUUUUUUUAUAAUAUAAGAACACUAAAAUAUCAACUUUUAUUUUUUAUAAGGUAUAGCUAGAAAUUGAAUGGAGAUCAAUUAACCAGUGAAAGGUUAUGCAGGGCGCAAUGGCGGUAAGCAUGCUUAACUGAAAGACUUAAAAGUCGCACAGAUACGUAAGUAGGGCAUAGUGACCCCUCGCUAUAUAAUGGAAUAGACGGGGAUCAAUUGAUAAAAGUUACGCUAGGGAUAACAGGCUGAUAGCCGGCGAGAGUACACAUUGUCCCGGCUGUUUGGCACCUCGAUGUCGACUUAUCCUAUCCUCCGGGGGAAGAAGCUUGGAAGGGUUCGGCUGUUCGCCGAUUAAAAGGUUACAUGAGUUGGGUUUAAUACGACGUGAGUCAGUAUGGUCCCUAUCUUCUGGAGGGAUAAAUAGUAAAAAGGGGCAGACCUUCUAGUACGAAAGGAUCAAUAGGCUGUGUUUCUCUAGUGUACCAAUUGUUGAUUUCAAAUUGACGUAGUUUGUUGAAUAAAGUAAACUUACUAUUGUUGGUUAAUUGGCAUAGUUGGGUAGCCACAAACAUAAUAGAUAAGCGCUGAAUGUAUAUAAAGCAAGAAACUAUCCCCUAGAUACUAUUACGGAUUGCUCUUUGACUCUAUCUU